Molecule: ribosomal RNA, 1716 nt
Filed under: Campylobacter jejuni
Lineage: Bacteria; Pseudomonadati; Campylobacterota; Epsilonproteobacteria; Campylobacterales; Campylobacteraceae
Description: partial 23S ribosomal RNA
Rfam family: Bacterial large subunit ribosomal RNA
Source: RNAcentral
AGGUAAGCUACUAAGAGCGAAUGGUGGAUGCCUUGACUGGUAAAGGCGAUGAAGGACGUACUAGACUGCGAUAAGCUACGGGGAGCUGUCAAGAAGCUUUGAUCCGUAGAUUUCCGAAUGGGGCAACCCAAUGUAUAGAGAUAUACAUUACCUAUAUAGGAGCGAACGAGGGGAAUUGAAACAUCUUAGUACCCUCAGGAAAAGAAAUCAAUAGAGAUUGCGUCAGUAGCGGCGAGCGAAAGCGCAAGAGGGCAAACCCAGUGCUUGCACUGGGGGUUGUAGGACUGCAAUGUGCAAGAGGUAAGUUUAGCAGAACAUUCUGGAAAGUAUAACCAUAGAGGGUGAUAGUCCCGUAUGCGAAAAACAAACCUUAGCUAGCAGUAUCCUGAGUAGGGCGGGACACGAGGAAUCCUGUCUGAAUCCGGGUCGACCACGAUCCAACCCUAAAUACUAAUACCAGAUCGAUAGUGCACAAGUACCGUGAGGGAAAGGUGAAAAGAACUGAGGUGAUCAGAGUGAAAUAGAACCUGAAACCAUUUGCUUACAAUCAUUCAGAGCCCUAUGUAGCAAUACAGGGUGAUGGACUGCCUUUUGCAUAAUGAGCCUGCGAGUUGUGGUGUCUGGCAAGGUUAAGCAAACGCGAAGCCGUAGCGAAAGCGAGUCUGAAUAGGGCGCUUAGUCAGAUGCUGCAGACCCGAAACGAAGUGAUCUAUCCAUGAGCAAGUUGAAGCUAGUGUAAGAACUAGUGGAGGACUGAACCCAUAGGCGUUGAAAAGCCCCGGGAUGACUUGUGGAUAGGGGUGAAAGGCCAAUCAAACUUCGUGAUAGCUGGUUCUCUCCGAAAUAUAUUUAGGUAUAGCGUUGUGUCGUAAUAUAAGGGGGUAGAGCACUGAAUGGGCUAGGGCAUACACCAAUGUACCAAACCCUAUCAAACUCCGAAUACCUUAUAUGUAAUCACAGCAGUCAGGCGGCGAGUGAUAAAAUCCGUCGUCAAGAGGGAAACAACCCAGACUACCAGCUAAGGUCCCUAAAUCUUACUUAAGUGGAAAACGAUGUGAAGUUACUUAAACAACCAGGAGGUUGGCUUAGAAGCAGCCAUCCUUUAAAGAAAGCGUAAUAGCUCACUGGUCUAGUGAUUUUGCGCGGAAAAUAUAACGGGGCUAAAGUAAGUACCGAAGCUGUAGACUUAGUUUACUAAGUGGUAGGAGAGCGUUCUAUUUGCGUCGAAGGUAUACCGGUAAGGAGUGCUGGAGCGAAUAGAAGUGAGCAUGCAGGCAUGAGUAGCGAUAAUUAAUGUGAGAAUCAUUAACGCCGUAAACCCAAGGUUUCCUACGCGAUGCUCGUCAUCGUAGGGUUAGUCGGGUCCUAAGUCGAGUCCGAAAGGGGUAGACGAUGGCAAAUUGGUUAAUAUUCCAAUACCAACAUUAGUGUGCGAUGGAAGGACGCUUAGGGCUAAGGGGGCUAGCGGAUGGAAGUGCUAGUCUAAGGUCGUAGGAGGUUAUACAGGCAAAUCCGUAUAACAAUACUCCGAGAACUGAAAGGCUUUUUGAAGUCUUCGGAUGGAUAGAAGAACCCCUGAUGCCGUCGAGCCAAGAAAAGUUUCUAAGUUUAGCUAAUGUUGCCCGUACCGUAAACCGACACAGGUGGGUGGGAUGAGUAUUCUAAGGCGCGUGGAAGAACUCUCUUUAAGGAACUCUGCAAAAUAGCACCGUAUCU